RNAcentral lists this ribosomal RNA (509 nucleotides) under Curvularia geniculata. Its description in RNAcentral is "eukaryotic LSU rRNA". The stretch from base 160 to 313 matches the Rfam family "5.8S ribosomal RNA". Lineage: Eukaryota; Fungi; Ascomycota; Dothideomycetes; Pleosporales; Pleosporaceae. The record is from RNAcentral.
UGCGGAGGGAUACAGGCGGCAAGGCUGGAGUAUUUUAUUACCCUUGUCUUUUGCGCACUUGUUGUUUCCUGGGCGGGUUCGCCCGCCUCCAGGACCACAUGAUAAACCUUUUUUAUGCAGUUGCAAUCAGCGUCAGUACAACAAAUGUAAAUCAUUUACAACUUUCAACAACGGAUCUCUUGGUUCUGGCAUCGAUGAAGAACGCAGCGAAAUGCGAUACGUAGUGUGAAUUGCAGAAUUCAGUGAAUCAUCGAAUCUUUGAACGCACAUUGCGCCCUUUGGUAUUCCAAAGGGCAUGCCUGUUCGAGCGUCAUUUGUACCCUCAAGCUUUGCUUGGUGUUGGGCGUUUUUUGUCUUUGGUUUUGUCCAAAGACUCGCCUUAAAACGAUUGGCAGCCGGCCUACUGGUUUCGCAGCGCAGCACAUUUUUGCGCUUGCAAUCAGCAAAAGAGGACGGCACUCCAUCAAGACUCUAUAUCACUUUUGACCUCGGAUCAGGUAGGGAUACCC